GAACCAUGGCCAGUGGCACCCUGGCUGUGCGCUGUGGCCCCCCGUGGUCUUUCAUCUCUGCAACCGAGAUGCCUGAAUCCUGGCCCAACUGGCAUCUCACCAGCAGCUACGUUACCCAUGGCAUUAUCCCACCCGUACCCUUCCCCCCGCCCACGGUGCAGUCCACGGUCGCGGACCCUCUACCUUCGACUGCAAAGCAGGAUUCUCGCAUCUGGGCUUUCGACGAGGUCCUCAGCAGAUGGGAGACAACCUCUGGCUCGGCCUACGUGCCCAAGACCCAUGGCGGGCCCUGCGCCCAGCCCAGAGCCCCAGAGCCUGCAGACCCCACGCGGACUGUGGGGAUCAAGGAUUCAGGAGAAAAGGUAA
This 366-nucleotide long non-coding RNA is filed under the name Pan troglodytes (chimpanzee). Its description in RNAcentral is "long non-coding RNA NONPTRT008577". The record is from RNAcentral. Lineage: Eukaryota; Metazoa; Chordata; Mammalia; Primates; Hominidae.